UGUAGUAGCGAGUUUUAAAAGGAAAGGUUUCCGUGUGGAAAACAAUUUUUAAAAGAAUUUUCUGGUUUUCCUGAUUAUUAGUAUUUCAAAACGAGUUUCCGGAUAGGAAACUUUUUAAACUGGUAGAUAUGGAUCUAUGAAUAAUUGUGAUGCAUUAUAAAUGUAAAUGUGAAUGGUGUAUGAAUAUGUGUAUAUUCAUAUGUGGUGGUUGUAUCCUAUAUUAUGUAUAUUGUACUUGUGCGACGCCGUGCAAAUAUAGGGGAGAUUCUGUCCGUAUGAACAGUGGACUCCCUAUAUUUGUGGUGGAUCUGGCAUACCCUAGGGGUCAGGUUUUCAAAAAAAAAAAAUUUGGGCACUUCCGCUUUGAAUUUAUAACAAAAAGGGACCCCGGGGCGUGACAUCAGAUAUCGAAGUA
RNAcentral lists this long non-coding RNA (415 nucleotides) under Ananas comosus (pineapple). RNAcentral describes it as "long non-coding RNA (ACOM_LNC023217)". The record is from RNAcentral. Lineage: Eukaryota; Viridiplantae; Streptophyta; Magnoliopsida; Poales; Bromeliaceae.